CCAGCAGUAGGAUGUGGAGCGCAGGGAUAGGAGGAAGUCUGGAUUUCGAGUUGCUGUACGCGCGAAGGACCAAUUUUGCUGCUCACGUGGGGGAGAGUUAGAGUUUGACCGAAACUCUCCUAGCAGUGGUUUGAGUCGGUCAAGCGGUGGACUGCUGUUGAUGGUGCAAGGAAUUUGGAUGGGAUUUAAAUUGGUGGUGGCUGAAAUUAAGGAGAAAAACAUGGAAUUUGAACUUGGGAAGGAUUUUAUGCCGAAAUAGAACUCAUGGAAGUACCAAUUCGGCUAUAGGCAAUUAAAUGCCGAAAAAGCUCUUAAAAUUUUGGCUUGUAUGGGUUGUUUUUCUUCUUUGUUUAGUUUUGGGUAUUUUUACGUGUUAG
RNAcentral lists this long non-coding RNA (377 nucleotides) under Gossypium barbadense (sea-island cotton). Its description in RNAcentral is "long non-coding RNA (GBAR_LNC005215)". Lineage: Eukaryota; Viridiplantae; Streptophyta; Magnoliopsida; Malvales; Malvaceae. The record is from RNAcentral.